GCCAGGUGCGGUGGUGCAAGCCUGUAAUCCCAGCAGCUCAGGAGGCUGAGACAGGAGAAUCCAGAGUUCAAAGCCAGCCUUAGCAAAAGCAAGGUGCUAAGCUGAGACCCUGUCUCUA
RNAcentral lists this small RNA (118 nucleotides) under Marmota monax (woodchuck). The record is from RNAcentral. Lineage: Eukaryota; Metazoa; Chordata; Mammalia; Rodentia; Sciuridae.